Molecule: ribosomal RNA, 506 nt
Filed under: uncultured bacterium
Lineage: Bacteria
Description: partial 16S ribosomal RNA
Rfam family: Bacterial small subunit ribosomal RNA
Source: RNAcentral
GAUGAACGCUAGCUACAGGCUUAACACAUGCAAGUCGAGGGGUAACGAGAGGAAAGCUUGCUUUCCUUGUCGACGACCGACGCACGGGUGAGUAACGCGUAUCCAACCUGCCCCCAACUAGGGAAUAACCUUGCGAAAGUAAGACUAAUACCCUAUAAUUUCCUCAGAUGUCAUCUGACGAGGAAUAAAGAUUUAUCGGUUGUGGAUGGGGAUGCGUCUGAUUAGCUUGUUGGCGGGGUAACGGCCCACCAAGGAAACGAUCAGUAGGGGUUCUGAGAGGAAGGUCCCCCACAUUGGAACUGAGACACGGUCCAAACUCCUACGGGAGGCAGCAGUGAGGAAUAUUGGUCAAUGGGCGGAAGCCUGAACCAGCCAAGUAGCGUGCAGGAUGACGGCCCUAUGGGUUGUAAACUGCUUUUAUACAGGAAUAAAGUUAGCCACGUGUGGUUAUUUGUAGGUACUGUAUGAAUAAGGACCGGCUAAUUCCGUGCCAGCAGCCGCCGUAA